This 481-nucleotide ribosomal RNA is filed under the name uncultured bacterium. Its description in RNAcentral is "bacterial SSU rRNA". It matches the Rfam family "Bacterial small subunit ribosomal RNA", at positions 15 to 518 of the family's 1533-position model. The record is from RNAcentral.
GAUCAUGGCUCAGAACGAACGCUGGCGGCAUGGGAUUAGGCAUGCAAGUCGAACGGGUGUAGCAAUACACUAGUGGCGAAAGGGUGAGGAACACGUGAGUAACUUGCCCCCAAGUUGGGAAUAACACCGGGAAACUGGUGCUAAUACCGAAUGUGAUUAUAGGGUCGCAUGGCUUUAUGAUUAAAGAUUUAUCGCUUGGGGAUAGGCUCGCGUUCCAUUAGCUAGUUGGUGAGGUAAUAGCUUACCAAGGCGAUGAUGGAUAGCUGGUCUGAGAGGAUGGCCAGCCACACUGGGACUGAGACACUGCCCAGACUCCUACGGGAGGCUGCAGUCGAGAAUCUUCCGCAAUGGGCGAAAGCCCUGACGGAGCAAUGCCGCGUGUAGGAUGAAGGUCUUCGGAUUGUAAACUACUGUCACCAGGGACGAAAAAAGUGACGGUACCUGGAGAGGAAGCCACGGCAAACUACGUGCCAGCCGCCGC